GCGGGCGGCCUGGGGAGCGACAUCCGGGUGGGCCUGGGAUCGGCCACCUGCUGGGCACGUGCAGGGGCGGGGGUCCCUCGGUCGCAGCUGACGACCCUUGCCUUCCUCAGCGCCGGCCUCGAGCUACAACCUGGACGUGCGGGGCGCGCGGAGCUUCUCCCCACCGCGCGCCGGGAGGCACUUUGGAUACCGCGUCCUGCAGGUCGGAAACGGGGUCAUCGUGGGAGCUCCAGGGGAGGGGAACAGCACAGGAAGCCUCUAUCAGUGCCAGUCGGGCACAGGACACUGCCUGCCAGUCACCCUGA
This 305-nucleotide long non-coding RNA is filed under the name Pan troglodytes (chimpanzee). Its description in RNAcentral is "long non-coding RNA NONPTRT005994". The record is from RNAcentral. Lineage: Eukaryota; Metazoa; Chordata; Mammalia; Primates; Hominidae.